This 1136-nucleotide ribosomal RNA is filed under the name Flavobacterium sp. RNAcentral describes it as "bacterial SSU rRNA". It matches the Rfam family "Bacterial small subunit ribosomal RNA", at positions 66 to 1214 of the family's 1533-position model. The record is from RNAcentral. Lineage: Bacteria; Pseudomonadati; Bacteroidota; Flavobacteriia; Flavobacteriales; Flavobacteriaceae.
GGUAUGCUUCUUCGGAACAGAGACCGGCGCACGGGUGCGUAACGCGUAUGCAAUCUACCUUUUACAGAGGGAUAGCCCAGAGAAAUUUGGAUUAAUACCUCAUAGCAUAGCAACUUCGCAUGAAGUCACUAUUAAAGUCACAACGGUAAAAGAUGAGCAUGCGUCCCAUUAGCUAGUUGGUAAGGUAACGGCUUACCAAGGCUACGAUGGGUAGGGGUCCUGAGAGGGAGAUCCCCCACACUGGUACUGAGACACGGACCAGACUCCUACGGGAGGCAGCAGUGAGGAAUAUUGGACAAUGGGCGCAAGCCUGAUCCAGCCAUGCCGCGUGCAGGAUGACGGUCCUAUGGAUUGUAAACUGCUUUUAUACAGGAAGAAACCCUGGUUCGUGAACCAGCUUGACGGUACUGUAAGAAUAAGGAUCGGCUAACUCCGUGCCAGCAGCCGCGGUAAUACGGAGGAUCCAAGCGUUAUCCGGAAUCAUUGGGUUUAAAGGGUCCGUAGGCGGUUUAGUAAGUCAGUGGUGAAAGCCCAUCGCUCAACGGUGGAACGGCCAUUGAUACUGCUAAACUUGAAUUAUUAGGAAGUAACUAGAAUAUGUAGUGUAGCGGUGAAAUGCUUAGAGAUUACAUGGAAUACCAAUUGCGAAGGCAGGUUACUACUAAUUGAUUGACGCUGAUGGACGAAAGCGUGGGUAGCGAACAGGAUUAGAUACCCUGGUAGUCCACGCCGUAAACGAUGGAUACUAGCUGUUGGGAGCAAUCUCAGUGGCUAAGCGAAAGUGAUAAGUAUCCCACCUGGGGAGUACGUUCGCAAGAAUGAAACUCAAAGGAAUUGACGGGGGCCCGCACAAGCGGUGGAGCAUGUGGUUUAAUUCGAUGAUACGCGAGGAACCUUACCAAGGCUUAAAUGUAGUUUGACCGAUUUGGAAACAGAUUUUUCGCAAGACAAAUUACAAGGUGCUGCAUGGUUGUCGUCAGCUCGUGCCGUGAGGUGUCAGGUUAAGUCCUAUAACGAGCGCAACCCCUGUUGUUAGUUGCCAGCGAGUCAUGUCGGGAACUCUAACAAGACUGCCAGUGCAAACUGUGAGGAAGGUGGGGAUGACGUCAAAUCAUCACGGCCCUUACGCCUUGGGC